Molecule: ribosomal RNA, 494 nt
Filed under: uncultured bacterium
Lineage: Bacteria
Description: partial 16S ribosomal RNA
Rfam family: Bacterial small subunit ribosomal RNA
Source: RNAcentral
GACGAACGCUGGCGGCGUGCUUAACACAUGCAACUCGAACGGAAAGGCCUGCUUUCCCUUGUGGAUUGCGGGUACUCGAGUGGCGAACGGGUGAGUAACACGUGGGUGAUCUGCCCCCAACUUGGGUAUAAGCCUGGGAAACUGGGUCUAAUUCCCGAUAGGACUGCAGGGUGGUGCCUGUGGUGGAAAACGAUUUUCUAGUGGUUGGGGAUGAGCUCGCGGCCUAUCAGCUUGUUGGUGGGGUAAUGGCCUACCAAGGCGGCGACGGGUAGCCGGCCUGGGAGGGUGGACGGCCACAUUGGGACUGAGAUACGGCCCAGACUCCUACGGGAGGCAGCAGUGGGGAAUAUUGCACAAUGGGCGGAAGCCUGAUGCAGCGACGCCGCGUGGGGGAUGACGGCCUUCGGGUUGUAAACUCCUUUCGACCGCGAGGAAGCCACCUGGUUGGAAGGGUGGUGACGGUAGUGGUAGAAGAAGCACCGGCUAACUACGUG